RNAcentral lists this ribosomal RNA (252 nucleotides) under uncultured bacterium. RNAcentral describes it as "partial 16S ribosomal RNA". It matches the Rfam family "Bacterial small subunit ribosomal RNA", at positions 524 to 776 of the family's 1533-position model. The record is from RNAcentral.
UACGUAAGUCCCGAGCGUUGUCCGGAUUUAUUGGGCGUAAAGCGAGCGCAGGUGGUUUAUUAAGUCUGGUGUAAAAGGCAGUGGCUCAACCAUUGUAUGCAUUGGAAACUGGUAGACUUGAGUGCAGGAGAGGAGAGUGGAAUUCCAUGUGUAGCGGUGAAAUGCGUAGAUAUAUGGAGGAACACCGGUGGCGAAGGCGACUUUCUGGUCUGUAACUGACGCUGAUGUGCGAAAGCGUGGGGAUCAAACAGG